This 493-nucleotide ribosomal RNA is filed under the name uncultured bacterium. Its description in RNAcentral is "partial 16S ribosomal RNA". It matches the Rfam family "Bacterial small subunit ribosomal RNA", at positions 30 to 523 of the family's 1533-position model. The record is from RNAcentral.
AUUGAACGCUGGCGGCAUGCUUUACACAUGCAAGUCGAACGGUAACAGGUUAAGCUGACGAGUGGCGAACGGGUGAGUAAUAUAUCGGAACGUGCCCAGUCGUGGGGGAUAACGCAGCGAAAGCUGUGCUAAUACCGCAUACGAUCUAUGGAUGAAAGCGGGGGACCGCAAGGCCUCGCGCGAUUGGAGCGGCCGAUAUCAGAUUAGCUAGUUGGUGGGGUAAAGGCCCACCAAGGCGACGAUCUGUAGCUGGUCUGAGAGGACGACCAGCCACACUGGAACUGAGACACGGUCCAGACUCCUACGGGAGGCAGCAGUGGGGAAUUUUGGACAAUGGGCGCAAGCCUGAUCCAGCAAUGCCGCGUGCAGGAUGAAGGCCUUCGGGUUGUAAACUGCUUUUGUACGGAACGAAGCGGCGAGCUUUAAUACAGUUUGCUAAUGACGGUACCGUAAGAAUAAGCACCGGCUAACUACGUGCCAGCCGCCGCAGUAA